RNAcentral lists this ribosomal RNA (681 nucleotides) under uncultured bacterium. RNAcentral describes it as "bacterial SSU rRNA". It matches the Rfam family "Bacterial small subunit ribosomal RNA", at positions 94 to 803 of the family's 1533-position model. The record is from RNAcentral.
AGUGGCGCAAGGGUGAGUAACACGUGAAUAUCUGCCUAUGAAUUCGGGAUAACUUGACGAAAGUUGCGCUAAUACCGAAUAAGCUCUUAUGUGCAAAGGAGUCUCAAACUCCGUUUAUAGAUGAGUUCGCGGACCAUUAGCUUGUUGGCGGGAUAAUAGCCCACCAAGGCUACGAUGGUUAGCCGGCCUGAGGGGGUGAUCGGCCACACUGGAACUGAGACACGGUCCAGACUCCUACGGGAGGCAGCAGUGGGGAAUAUUGCGCAAUGGGCGAAAGCCUGACGCAGCAACGCCGCGUGAGGGAUGAAGGAUUUUGGUUCGUAAACCUCUGUCAAGUGGGAAGAAUAAUGACGGUACCACUAAAGGAAGCCCCGGCUAACUCCGUGCCAGCAGCCGCGGUAAUACGGAGGGGGCAAGCGUUGUUCGGAAUUAUUGGGCGUAAAGAGUAUGUAGGCGGCUGGAUAAGUCAAGCGUGUAAGCCCACGGCUCAACCGUGGAAUUGCGUUUGAAACUAUUCAGCUUGAGUACAGGAGAGGAAGGCGGAAUUCCCAGUGUAGCGGUGAAAUGCAUUGAUAUUGGGAAGAACACCGGGGGCGACGCGUCCUUCUGGUCUGUUACUGACGCUGAGAUACCGAAGGCAAGGGAGCAACGGGGAUUAGAUACCCUCGUAGUCUUGACGUA